GGCACUGCUGGGUCUCCUGCACUUCCUCUGCCUCUCUCCAGGGCCAAACUCAAACCCUUAGAACAGCAUAUGUUCUUUUGAAGAGGGUAAAGGUUUCAGCAAGAAAGAUUUUUGGCUGCCCUGCCUGCCCCUUUGCAGUUCAAAUAUCCUUCAAAACAACUGCAUCUAUUUUUUUUUUUUGCCUUUGCUAAAAAUCAACGGUGAAUUUGAGGUGAUAAAAUUUAAAUCUGAUGAAAUGUUCCUCUUAAGUGUACAUUGAACAAAUGCAAACAACUGUCAAGACAUAAAACAUUGCUUUUACCGCAGAGGCAACUGCUGUUCUGACGCAGAUUACUACAUUAAUUUUGCCUAUUCUGGGACAUCGUGUAAAUGGGAUC
This is a long non-coding RNA of Trichechus manatus latirostris (Florida manatee), 377 nucleotides long. RefSeq lists it as uncharacterized. Lineage: Eukaryota; Metazoa; Chordata; Mammalia; Sirenia; Trichechidae. The record is from RefSeq and is a predicted model, not a curated record. The transcript is spliced from 3 exons.